AGGGGCGUGCUCCAGGGCUGGGCUCCAGCCUGCGCAGUCCGGGGGAUGACACUAGGGGGCAGCGAGGGGUAGCGGGAACCACGUCCUGGAGGGAAGACCCUCCGACCUGCCAGAUGAAGUGCGGGCGCGCUGGGCGCAGCGGCCGGGGUAUCACGGAGGGAGGCAGCCUCCCGCGGGCUGAGGGGGCGAGGAGGGGCCAGCGGGCCCGCAUCCUAGGCUACGCAAGCGGCCGCUUGCCGCUCCCGCGCCAGCAGAGGUCCCGGGUCCUCCAUCUGCUUCCAAGCACAGGCGCAGCGGCUCCGCGUUGACCCACAUUCCCUCCAGCCGCGGAGCCGGGGGCGGGGAAUCCACCGGCCGCGGAGCAGGAGAUCCUGGUAAGGAAUACUGAACUAAUAAGCCACCACCAACCGGAAGAGUUCGGGAAAGGUCAAAAGGAGACACCGCGAGUCCGUCCACUUCCCAGAAUCCCUCUGGCUAGCAUCCAUCUUGGCUGAAUGAUGCGUGUGCCACCAGGAAAGACUCUGAAUUACAACAAUUGGUCAAAGACAACCCGGAAACUAAUCCCAUCACCAUAAAACCCGAGACUGUGAGUCACAUGGCAGAGCAGUUCUCCUGAGUUCCCUUACCCUACUGCUCUCAAUACAAUCUCUUGCUAUGUCAGCACAUGUGUCUCCUUGGACAAUUCAUUUCCGAGUGUUAGACAAGAGCCCAGUUUCGGGCCCUGGAAGGGGUCCCCCUUCCUGCAACAUAUUGACCCCCUUUCUCCCUCCUCACUCCCACUUCCAAGGUAGCCACUGUUCAUGGCCAAGGAGGUACAGCUGGAUCAAUCGGCAUUCAUGUGUUUUAAUGUGCUUGGUGUAGAAAUGAGAUCAGGAUAGUAUAAGACCUACUGGGCAGUGACUGGUCCCCAAAAGCCAAGCAGCUCUGAGCGUUUUGCAUGCAGUAACUCAUUUGUUCCUGUAGACUUAAAAAAUAGUGACAACAUAAAGUUUGACAGUUAUGUUUUAUUUGGUGGGAAUUUUUAGGACUGACUUCCCUGGUGGACUUCCCUGGUGGCUCAGACGGUAAAGCGUCUGUCUACAAUGCGGGAGACCUGGGUUCGAUCCCUGGGUUGGGAAGAUUCCCUGGAGAAGGAAAUGGCAACCCACUCCAGUACCCUUGCCUAGAAAAUCCCAUGGAUGGAGGAGCCUGGUG
Bos taurus (domestic cattle) is the source of this 1194-nucleotide long non-coding RNA. NCBI's taxonomy places the organism in Eukaryota, Metazoa, Chordata, Mammalia, Artiodactyla, Bovidae. The record is from Ensembl.